AUUGAACGCUGGCGGCAUGCUUUACACAUGCAAGUCGAACGGUAACAGGUCUUUCGGGAUGCUGACGAGUGGCGAACGGGUGAGUAAUGUAUCGGAACGUGCCCAGUAGUGGGGGAUAACUACUCGAAAGAGUGGCUAAUACCGCAUGAGAUCUCUGGAUGAAAGCGGGGGACCGUAAGGCCUCGCGCUACUGGAGCGGCCGAUAUCAGAUUAGGUUGUUGGUGAGGUAAAGGCUCACCAAGCCGACGAUCUGUAGCUGGUCUGAGAGGACGACCAGCCACACUGGGACUGAGACACGGCCCAGACUCCUACGGGAGGCAGCAGUGGGGAAUUUUGGGACAAUGGGCGCAAGCCUGAUCCAGCAAUGCCGCGUGCAGGGACGAAAGGCCUUCGGGUUGUAAACGUGCUUUUGUACGGAACGAAAGACCUUCUUCUAAUACAGGAGGGUCAUGACGGUACCGUAAGAAUAAGCA
Molecule: ribosomal RNA, 473 nt
Filed under: uncultured bacterium
Lineage: Bacteria
Description: bacterial SSU rRNA
Rfam family: Bacterial small subunit ribosomal RNA
Source: RNAcentral